MicroRNA precursor from Nicotiana attenuata, 96 nucleotides. It matches the Rfam family "MIR6152 microRNA precursor family". The record is from Rfam. NCBI's taxonomy places the organism in Eukaryota, Viridiplantae, Streptophyta, Magnoliopsida, Solanales, Solanaceae.
UGGACAGAUUAUUGUAUUCGACUGUAUUCAGGGCGUGAAACAGGGGAUUACACUAUUUUUAAACAGAAAGUUAAUCAAUUAACAUAAUAGACUCCU